CACCUUACUUAUAAGCCGGGGGACAAGAUUUGUUCUAUGUUCACUAGUAAAACGUGAGGUAAAUAAUAGAGACAACCAGACACCGUGAAUGUUUUGAUGUUUUCGGUCAUAGUGUGUCCCACAUUU
This 126-nucleotide small nucleolar RNA is filed under the name Caenorhabditis japonica. Its description in RNAcentral is "snoRNA CJA48526". It matches the Rfam family "Caenorhabditis snoRNA ceN101". The record is from Rfam by way of RNAcentral. Lineage: Eukaryota; Metazoa; Nematoda; Chromadorea; Rhabditida; Rhabditidae.